This 433-nucleotide ribosomal RNA is filed under the name uncultured bacterium. Its description in RNAcentral is "partial 16S ribosomal RNA". It matches the Rfam family "Bacterial small subunit ribosomal RNA", at positions 29 to 507 of the family's 1533-position model. The record is from RNAcentral.
AACGAACGCUGGCGGCAUGCCUAACACAUGCAAGUCGAACGAGACCUUCGGGUCUAGUGGCGCACGGGUGCGUAACGCGUGGGAACCUGCCCUUAGGUUCGGAAUAACUCCCCGAAAGGGGUGCUAAUACCGGAUAAUGUCUUCGGACCAAAGAUUUAUCGCCUUUGGAUGGGCCCGCGUUGGAUUAGCUAGUUGGUAGGGUAAAAGCCUACCAAGGCGACGAUCCAUAGCUGGUCUGAGAGGAUGAUCAGCCACACUGGGACUGAGACACGGCCCAGACUCCUACGGGAGGCAGCAGCGGGGAAUAUUGGACAAUGGGCGAAAGCCUGAUCCAGCAAUGCCGCGUGAGUGAUGAAGGCCUUAGGGUUGUAAAGCUCUUUUACCCGGGAUGAUAAUGACAGUACCGGGAGGAUAAGCUCCGGCUAACUCCGUG